GUCCACGCCCUAAACGAUGUCAACUAGGUGUUGGGGAAGGAGACUUCUUUAGUACCGCAGCUAACGCGUGAAGUUGACCGCCUGGGGAGUACGGUCGCAAGAUUAAAACUCAAAGGAAUUGACGGGGACCCGCACAAGCGGUGGAUUAUGUGGAUUAAUUCGAUGCAACGCGAAAAACCUUACCUACCCUUGACAUGCCAGGAAGUUUCCAGAGAUGGAUUCGUGCCCCGAAAGGGAACCUGGACACAGGUGCUGCAUGGCUGUCGU
Molecule: ribosomal RNA, 267 nt
Filed under: uncultured bacterium
Lineage: Bacteria
Description: partial 16S ribosomal RNA
Rfam family: Bacterial small subunit ribosomal RNA
Source: RNAcentral